This 209-nucleotide long non-coding RNA is filed under the name Zostera marina. RNAcentral's name for it is "long non-coding RNA (ZMAR_LNC002852)". The record is from RNAcentral. Lineage: Eukaryota; Viridiplantae; Streptophyta; Magnoliopsida; Alismatales; Zosteraceae.
UUACCGGUCGAGAGAGCCCCUCCUUGUGUCGUAGAUUCCUCUCCCUCCAAAGGUGCCAUAUAAACGUUGCAAGUGCAUUCCAAUGUAGCCCCCAGCAUGGUGCUGACUUUACUGAAUUUGGAUAUCCCCUCCAUGAUAUCACCCACCCUUAUAUCUCCUAGCUUUAUUUCUGUGAUACCCAUAAGUUUUCAUAGUGCAUAAUCUGUCAA